AACGACCGGCUGGGCACCUAUGUGCUCGGCCCACAAGUGGAGGCUCCGAUCUCCCACCUGACCAUCCUCCGGGAUGGCAGGUCACCGGUCAGGUGGCGCCCAUCGUUCCGUACGGACGAUGGAGCCGCCCGAUACGCCCCGCGGUUGACCGCGGCGGUGUUCCGGUUUUCCAGGAGCCCCGCCUGUGUCCCGUCCGGGGCAUUUUUG
RNAcentral lists this non-coding RNA (207 nucleotides) under Streptomyces sp. Ncost-T10-10d. Its description in RNAcentral is "Streptomyces RNA 1601". It matches the Rfam family "Streptomyces RNA 1601". Rfam says of the family: Identified by deep sequencing of transcriptome at the end of exponential growth phase. Appears longer on northern blot than sequencing transcript. Streptomyces specific. The record is from Rfam by way of RNAcentral. Lineage: Bacteria; Bacillati; Actinomycetota; Actinomycetes; Kitasatosporales; Streptomycetaceae.